Molecule: ribosomal RNA, 488 nt
Filed under: Actias neidhoeferi
Lineage: Eukaryota; Metazoa; Arthropoda; Insecta; Lepidoptera; Saturniidae
Description: partial 16S ribosomal RNA
Rfam family: Archaeal large subunit ribosomal RNA (bases 1-163)
Source: RNAcentral
GCCUGUUUAUCAAAAACAUGUCUUUUUGAAAAUAAUUUAAAGUCUAAUCUGCCCACUGAUAAUAUAUUGAAGGGCUGCAGUAUUUUGACUGUACAAAGGUAGCAUAAUCAUUAGUCUCUUAAUUGGUGACUUGUAUGAAGGAUUGGAUGAGAUAUAAACUGUCUUAAAAAUAAAUAAAUUGAAUUUAAUUUUUUAAUUAAAAAGUUAAAAUAAAUUAAAAAGACGAGAAGACCCUAUAGAGUUUUAUAUUUUAUUAAAUUUAAUUUAUUUAUAAAUUUAUUAAAUAUAAAUUUAAUAAAAUAUUUUAUUGGGGUGAUAAAAAAAUAAAAAAAACUUUUUUUUAAGUUAACCAUAAAUAAAUGAAUUUUUGAUCCAGUUUUAUUGAUUAUAAGAAAAAAUUACCUUAGGGAUAACAGCGUAAUUUUUUUUUUUAGUUCUUAUAAGAAGAAAAGUUUGCGACCUCGAUGUUGGAUUAAGAUAAAAAUUAA